RNAcentral lists this ribosomal RNA (478 nucleotides) under uncultured bacterium. Its description in RNAcentral is "partial 16S ribosomal RNA". It matches the Rfam family "Bacterial small subunit ribosomal RNA", at positions 28 to 523 of the family's 1533-position model. The record is from RNAcentral.
GACGAGCGCUGGCGGCGUGCUUAACACAUGCAAGUCGAACGGUAAGGCCCUUCGGGGUACACGAGUGGCGAACGGGUGAGUAACACGUGGGUGAUCUGCCCUGCACUUCGGGAUAAGCCUGGGAAACUGGGUCUAAUACCGGAUAGGACCCUGGGAUGCAUGUCCUGGGGUGGAAAGCUUUUGCGGUGUGGGAUGGGCCCGCGGCCUAUCAGCUUGUUGGUGGGGUGAUGGCCUACCAAGGCGACGACGGGUAGCCGGCCUGAGAGGGUGACCGGCCACACUGGGACUGAGAUACGGCCCAGACUCCUACGGGAGGCAGCAGUGGGGAAUAUUGCACAAUGGGCGCAAGCCUGAUGCAGCGACGCCGCGUGAGGGAUGACGGCCUUCGGGUUGUAAACCUCUUUCAGCACCGGCGAAGCGCAAGUGACGGUAGGUGCAGAAGAAGGACCGGCCAACUACGUGCCAGCCGCCGCAGUAA